GCGAGAGUGGCGGAAUUGGCAGACGCGCCAGACUUAGGAUCUGGUGGGAGACCAUGGGGGUUCGAUUCCCCCCUCUCGCACCA
This 83-nucleotide transfer RNA is filed under the name Deltaproteobacteria bacterium. RNAcentral's name for it is "tRNA-Leu". It matches the Rfam family "tRNA". From Rfam's summary of the family: Transfer RNA (tRNA) molecules are approximately 80 nucleotides in length. Their secondary structure includes four short double-helical elements and three loops (D, anti-codon, and T loops). The record is from RNAcentral. RNAcentral also lists the same sequence under 1 other name. Lineage: Bacteria; Pseudomonadati; Myxococcota; Myxococcia.